This 1097-nucleotide ribosomal RNA is filed under the name Rachicladosporium cboliae. RNAcentral's name for it is "SSU rRNA". It matches the Rfam family "Eukaryotic small subunit ribosomal RNA", at positions 39 to 1145 of the family's 1831-position model. The record is from RNAcentral. Lineage: Eukaryota; Fungi; Ascomycota; Dothideomycetes; Cladosporiales; Cladosporiaceae.
AAAGAUUAAGCCAUGCAUGUCUAAGUAUAAGCAACUAUACGGUGAAACUGCGAAUGGCUCAUUAAAUCAGUUAUCGUUUAUUUGAUAGUACCUUACUACUUGGAUAACCGUGGUAAUUCUAGAGCUAAUACAUGCUAAAAACCUCGACUUCGGAAGGGGUGUAUUUAUUAGAUAAAAAACCAAUGCCCUUCGGGGCUCCUUGGUGAAUCAUAAUAACUUAACGAAUCGCAUGGCCUUGCGCCGGCGAUGGUUCAUUCAAAUUUCUGCCCUAUCAACUUUCGAUGGUAGGAUAGUGGCCUACCAUGGUAUCAACGGGUAACGGGGAAUUAGGGUUCGACUCCGGAGAGGGAGCCUGAGAAACGGCUACCACAUCCAAGGAAGGCAGCAGGCGCGCAAAUUACCCAAUCCCGACACGGGGAGGUAGUGACAAUAAAUACUGAUACAGGGCUCUUUUGGGUCUUGUAAUUGGAAUGAGUACAAUUUAAAUCCCUUAACGAGGAACAAUUGGAGGGCAAGUCUGGUGCCAGCAGCCGCGGUAAUUCCAGCUCCAAUAGCGUAUAUUAAAGUUGUUGCAGUUAAAAAGCUCGUAGUUGAACCUUGGGCCUGGCUGGCCGGUCCGCCUCACCGCGUGUACUGGUCCGGCCGGGCCUUUCCUUCUGGGGAACCGCAUGCCCUUCACUGGGCGUGCCGGGGAACCAGGACUUUUACUUUGAAAAAAUUAGAGUGUUCAAAGCAGGCCUUUGCUCGAAUACAUUAGCAUGGAAUAAUAGAAUAGGACGUGUGGUUCUAUUUUGUUGGUUUCUAGGACCGCCGUAAUGAUUAAUAGGGAUAGUCGGGGGCAUCAGUAUUCAAUUGUCAGAGGUGAAAUUCUUGGAUUUAUUGAAGACUAACUACUGCGAAAGCAUUUGCCAAGGAUGUUUUCAUUAAUCAGUGAACGAAAGUUAGGGGAUCGAAGACGAUCAGAUACCGUCGUAGUCUUAACCAUAAACUAUGCCGACUAGGGAUCGGACGGUGUUAUUAUUUUGACCCGUUCGGCACCUUACGAGAAAUCAAAGUUUUUGGGUUCUGGGGGGAGUAUGGUCGCAAGGCUGAAACUU